CGGGGCGUGGCGCAGCCUGGUAGCGCGUCUGCUUUGGGAGCAGAAGGCCGCUGGUUCGAAUCCAGUCGCCCCGA
This 74-nucleotide transfer RNA is filed under the name Planctomycetota bacterium. RNAcentral describes it as "tRNA-Pro". It matches the Rfam family "tRNA". Rfam says of the family: Transfer RNA (tRNA) molecules are approximately 80 nucleotides in length. Their secondary structure includes four short double-helical elements and three loops (D, anti-codon, and T loops). Lineage: Bacteria; Pseudomonadati; Planctomycetota. The record is from RNAcentral.